This 797-nucleotide ribosomal RNA is filed under the name uncultured Bacteroidota bacterium. Its description in RNAcentral is "bacterial SSU rRNA". It matches the Rfam family "Bacterial small subunit ribosomal RNA", at positions 8 to 797 of the family's 1533-position model. Lineage: Bacteria; Pseudomonadati; Bacteroidota. The record is from RNAcentral.
AGAGUUUGAUCCUGGCUCAGGAUGAACGCUAGCGGCAGGCCUAACACAUGCAAGUCGAACGGUAACAGAAAAAGCUUGCUUUUUGCUGACGAGUGGCGAACGGGUGCGUAACGCGUAUGCAACCUACCUUUUUCUAAGGAAUAGCCCAGAGAAAUUUGGAUUAAUACCUUAUAAUAAUAUUCAUUCGCAUGUUUGAAUAUUUAAAGCUUUUGCGGAGAAAGAUGGGCAUGCGUGACAUUAGUUUGUUGGUGAGGUAACGGCUCACCAAGACUACGAUGUCUAGGGGUUCUGAGAGGAUGAUCCCCCACACUGGUACUGAGACACGGACCAGACUCCUACGGGAGGCAGCAGUGAGGAAUAUUGGUCAAUGGACGAAAGUCUGAACCAGCCAUGCCGCGUGAAGGAUGACGGCCCUACGGGUUGUAAACUUCUUUUGUAUAGGAAGAAACCCCUCUACGUGUAGAGGGCUGACGGUACUAUACGAAUAAGCACCGGCUAACUCCGUGCCAGCAGCCGCGGUAAUACGGAGGGUGCAAGCGUUAUCCGGAAUUAUUGGGUUUAAAGGGUGCGUAGGCGGAAAUUUAAGUCAGUGGUGAAAGCCUGCAGCUCAACUGUAGAAUUGCCAUUGAUACUGAAUUUCUUGAAUCUAAUUGAAGUGGGCGGAAUAUGACAUGUAGCGGUGAAAUGCUUAGAUAUGUCAUAGAACACCGAUAGCGAAGGCAGCUCACUAAGUUAGUAUUGACGCUCAUGCACGAAAGCGUGGGGGAGCGAACAGGAUUAGAUACCCUGGUAGUCCA